RNAcentral lists this long non-coding RNA (264 nucleotides) under Lathyrus oleraceus (garden pea). Its description in RNAcentral is "Pisum sativum (pea) long non-coding RNA (PSAT_LNC013660)". The record is from RNAcentral. Lineage: Eukaryota; Viridiplantae; Streptophyta; Magnoliopsida; Fabales; Fabaceae.
AAAAUUAUUGUUUUAAGAUUUAUUUAACGUUAUUGGAUUUAUUUUAUGUUGUAAGGAUUAUUUGAUUUUAAAACUUGUUUAAUCUUAUAAGUUUGAAAGUCCAAUAUUUCAUCUCUUUCAUCACUACCGUUUAAGGAUCACCCAUCGUCAGAUUUGAUCAGACACUUCCAUACAUCUCAUGUCGGAGAAAAAGUGAUGGUUCUAACUAUCUUUGAUUUAUAAAUUCCACCACAUGUUGAUCACAAGUAUGAUAUCAUUAUUAUU